RNAcentral lists this long non-coding RNA (275 nucleotides) under Elaeis guineensis (African oil palm). RNAcentral's name for it is "long non-coding RNA (EGUI_LNC035831)". The record is from RNAcentral. Lineage: Eukaryota; Viridiplantae; Streptophyta; Magnoliopsida; Arecales; Arecaceae.
UCUGGUCCCUCGACCCCGACGACAUCAAGAAGCCCGCCACAGUUUAUGAUGGCAAUUCUACCCCCUUGACCGGUGUCGCCCCAUUCAGCUACUUCAAAAUUCUCGGGCCGACGCACUCACCGACCAGUUUCAUUAUUAAAUCCCUGUUGUUAAAGAAAUUUUCCCUCGAGUCCCCUUCGAAGCUGUGGGAGCCCUCAGUGGCAGCUCGGCGGCCGCUGAACUUGCGGGCCAUUGUUUCCCUUCUCCUCCUCCUCUCGAUCCGCAACAUCCCCUCG